RNAcentral lists this ribosomal RNA (438 nucleotides) under uncultured bacterium. RNAcentral's name for it is "bacterial SSU rRNA". It matches the Rfam family "Bacterial small subunit ribosomal RNA", at positions 958 to 1393 of the family's 1533-position model. The record is from RNAcentral.
AACGCGAAGAACCUUACCUGGGCUUGACAUGCAGAGUUCAAGCGGUGAGAGCCGCUGGCCGCAAGGCGAUCUGCACAGGUGCUGCAUGGCUGUCGUCAGUUCGUGCCGUGAGGUGUUGGGUUAAGUCCCGCAACGAACGCAACCCUUGUGUUUAGUUGCCACCGGCGUGAUAAACGCCGAGCACUCUAGACAGACUGCCCGUGACAAGCGGGAGGAAGGUGGGGAUGACGUCAAGUCAGUAUGGCCCUUACGUCCAGGGCUGCACACGUGCUACAAUGGCCGGUACAGAGGGCAGCAAGACCGCGAGGUGGAGCAAAUCCUGAAAACCGGCCCCAGUUCAGAUUGAAGGCUGCAACUCGCCUUCAUGAAGCCGGAUUCGCUAGUAAUGGCGUAUCAGCUACGACGCCGUGAAUACGUUCCCGGGUCUUGUACACACGC